RNAcentral lists this transfer RNA (72 nucleotides) under zebrafish metagenome. It matches the Rfam family "tRNA". From Rfam's summary of the family: Transfer RNA (tRNA) molecules are approximately 80 nucleotides in length. Their secondary structure includes four short double-helical elements and three loops (D, anti-codon, and T loops). Further hydrogen bonds mediate the characteristic L-shaped molecular structure. tRNAs have two regions of fundamental functional importance: the anti-codon, which is responsible for specific mRNA codon recognition, and the 3' end, to which the tRNAs corresponding amino acid is attached (by aminoacyl-tRNA synthetases). tRNAs cope with the degeneracy of the genetic code in two manners: having more than one tRNA (with a specific anti-codon) for a particular amino acid; and 'wobble' base-pairing, i.e. permitting non-standard base-pairing at the 3rd anti-codon position. The record is from RNAcentral.
GGGCAGUAGCUCAGGCGGUUAGAGCAGCGGACUCAUAAUCCGUUGGUCGUGGGUUCAAGUCCUACCUGCCCC